Molecule: non-coding RNA, 85 nt
Organism: Caerostris darwini
Lineage: Eukaryota; Metazoa; Arthropoda; Arachnida; Araneae; Araneidae
Source: the annotation of a GenBank genome assembly
CAACAGAUCCAUCACCAAAGUCAAGCAUCAUUGGGCGCGGUCAGUACUUGGGUGGGUGACUACCUGGGAACACCGCGUGCCGUUG